Molecule: small RNA, 256 nt
Filed under: Pseudomonas lundensis
Lineage: Bacteria; Pseudomonadati; Pseudomonadota; Gammaproteobacteria; Pseudomonadales; Pseudomonadaceae
Description: Pseudomonas sRNA P24
Rfam family: Pseudomonas sRNA P24
About the family: P24 is conserved across several Pseudomonas species and in Azotobacter vinelandii. It appears to be consistently located between a hypothetical protein gene and a transcriptional regulator gene (AsnC family) in the genomes of all these species.
Source: RNAcentral
UUGCGCAAGUAAUGUUUUAUUGAGCAAUCUUCGCAAUCGUGUGCCGUCUGCACAGGCCUAUGCUUUACACCAGAAUCACUGCCCGGACAUAGAGUCCACUGCGGCCCGCCGAAUCAGGCCAGCCGCGGCCGCCAACCCCACAGGGUUGCCCCGGCCCCCGGGCUACGCACUGUCCACAAGACGGAGCGAGGUGAGCCAACACCACACGUGUUGAGCCAGGACGAAAAAAUUCAAAGGGCGGCCGACGGGUCGCCCU